GAUGAACGCUGGCGGCGUGCCUAAUACAUGCAAGUCGAGCGAACGGACGAGAAGCUUGCUUCUCUGAUGUUAGCGGCGGACGGGUGAGUAACACGUGGAUAACCUACCUAUAAGACUGGGAUAACUUCGGGAAACCGUAGCUAAUACCGGAUAAUAUUUUGAACCGCAUGGUUCAAAAGUGAAAGACGGUCUUGCUGUCACUUAUAGAUGGAUCCGCGCUGCAUUAGCUAGUUGGUAAGGUAACGGCUUACCAGGGCAACGAUGCACAGCCGACCUGAGAGGGUGAUCGGCCACACUGGAACUGAGACACGGUCCAGACUCCUACGGGAGGCAGCAGUAGGGAAUCUUCCGCAAUGGGCGAAAGCCUGACGGAGCAACGCCGCGUGAGUGAUGAAGGUCUUCGGAUCGUAAAACUCUGUUAUUAGGGAAGAACAUAUGUGUAAGUAACUGUGCACAUCUUGACGGUACCUAAUCAGAAAGCCACGGCUAACUACGUG
RNAcentral lists this ribosomal RNA (497 nucleotides) under uncultured bacterium. RNAcentral's name for it is "partial 16S ribosomal RNA". It matches the Rfam family "Bacterial small subunit ribosomal RNA", at positions 28 to 507 of the family's 1533-position model. The record is from RNAcentral.